RNAcentral lists this ribosomal RNA (253 nucleotides) under uncultured bacterium. RNAcentral describes it as "partial 16S ribosomal RNA". It matches the Rfam family "Bacterial small subunit ribosomal RNA", at positions 524 to 776 of the family's 1533-position model. The record is from RNAcentral.
UACAGAGGUUCCAAGCGUUGUUCGGAUUCACUGGGCGUAAAGGGUGCGUAGGUGGUGAGGUAAGUCGGAUGUGAAAUCUCCGGGCUCAACCCGGAAAUGGCAUUGGAAACUACCUUGCUGGAGGGUUUGAGGGGGGAUUGGAAUACUUGGUGUAGCAGUGAAAUGCGUAGAUAUCAAGUGGAACACCAGUGGCGAAGGCGAAUCCCUGGAAAACACCUGACACUGAGGCACGAAAGCUAGGGGAGCAAACAGG